GCCACCGAAUACAUUUUAGCAUGGGAUAAUGGAAUAGGACCCUGUCCUCCUAUUUUCAGUUGGUUUUGGCAGAGCGAGGACAAGGGUAAUGAGGAUAAUGGAUAGUUGGGGGCAUUAAUUUUUAAAUGUCAGAUGUGAGAUUCUUGGAUUUAUGAAAUAUUAACUUCUGCUAAGCCAUCGGCGUUUGAUGUUUUCAUUAAUCAAGAACGAGGGUUCGGGGACCAUAAAAUAUCGUAUACCGUCUUACUCUUAACCAUAAACAAUGCCGACCAGCAAUCAUUAAACGUUGAAUACCAAACUCCACCAUCGGAGCGGUCGUUCUUGUCUUCGGUCUUUCGGCCGGUCCGGUGGCCGCUU
Molecule: ribosomal RNA, 357 nt
Filed under: Acanthamoeba genotype T4
Lineage: Eukaryota; Discosea; Longamoebia; Acanthamoebidae
Description: SSU rRNA
Rfam family: Eukaryotic small subunit ribosomal RNA
Source: RNAcentral